Molecule: non-coding RNA, 148 nt
Filed under: Nomascus leucogenys (northern white-cheeked gibbon)
Lineage: Eukaryota; Metazoa; Chordata; Mammalia; Primates; Hylobatidae
Source: Rfam by way of RNAcentral
GCUGGGCGUGGUGGCGGGCGCCUGUAAUCCCAGCUGCUCAGGAGGCUGAGACAGGAGAAUCGCUUGGACCUGGGAGGCAGAGGUUGCAGUGAGCCAAGAUCGUGCCACUGCACUCCAGCCUGGGUGACAGAGCGAGACUCCGUCUCAA